Long non-coding RNA from Acinonyx jubatus (cheetah), 1136 nucleotides. RefSeq lists it as uncharacterized. Lineage: Eukaryota; Metazoa; Chordata; Mammalia; Carnivora; Felidae. The record is from RefSeq and is a predicted model, not a curated record. The transcript is spliced from 3 exons.
AUGAUCUGAGCCGAAGUCAAGAGCUGGACACCCAACCAACUGAGCCACCCAGGUGCCCAAACUCUUGGUGUCUCAUACUCUUGUGUGGUAAGGCCACUGUGCAUUUAUAUUUCUAAGCCUGGUUUUAUGUCUUAUUUCUUAUAGUCUACCGUGAGAACACUUUCUAAAGGAAUCCCACCCUGGGCUGCAGCCUUAAGCUAUUCAGGGGAGACCCUGAAUGCAGAACACAGACUUGACUGGCUCCAGCCAAUGAAGAAAAUCACUGGAAGUAAAGGCUCAGCAUGGGGCUUCUCAAAAGAGAAAUGUAAACUGCAAGAUGAAAAAUCAAACAGUAUCCCUCUAAUCUCUGAUUAGAGGGAACCAUGUUAGAGGGAUUUCGUUCAGAAGCAGAAACACUCAAAAGUAUCAUCUUCCUCUUUCUUCUCCAGCUACCAAGAAGACAGGAAGAAUUCAGGUCUUCUGGGACUGGCAUCAGAAAAGCAAAUUAAGGACUUCCUUGUGAUCAGCAGGAAGCAGGCAAGCUAGUUAGGAACCUGACUGAAGAAACAAAGCUGUCCAUUGACUGCGGGGAAGAGCCUGAGGGUCUGGAGUCUAGAGAGAGCCCCUACAGAGUUGACUCAGAUUUCAUUUUUAAGUAAUCUCGAUGUGGGGCUCAAACUCACAACCCCGAGAUCAAGAGUUGCAUGCUCCAACUGACUGAGCCAGCCAGCGCCCGACCCUCCAGACUUUGAAGACAAGGAGACUAACUCCACAUGAGUUCAGUGACUUCAUUCCCACCAAGGGAGGCCCAUGUCCCAAUUCUUCACCCUUGCACCUCCUGAACACUUGGCACUUUAAUAUCUUUACAGGCAUUAGUGCUUAGGUAAGUGUCUUUCAGGUUUCAGCAGUUUUCUAACAGUUAAUGUAUAUACCCUUGGGCAUGUUGACUUUUUCAAGCUACUAGUAGAGUCCAAACUCUUCAUAUUCAAAGUGAGUUGAGCAGGUCUACUUUCAAACUGCCCUAAAGCUUGGUGGGGCGCUUUGCCUCAAGAGUACCUCAUAUGCCCAGUGACUCAGCUAACAGACCCCAGGAACCACUCACCAUUUCUGCCGUCCAUUGGCACUUGGCUCAGCACAGUUAGGCCGAUGAGGACGUA